RNAcentral lists this ribosomal RNA (430 nucleotides) under Bacillota bacterium. Its description in RNAcentral is "Firmicutes bacterium partial 16S ribosomal RNA". It matches the Rfam family "Bacterial small subunit ribosomal RNA", at positions 355 to 776 of the family's 1533-position model. The record is from RNAcentral. Lineage: Bacteria; Bacillati; Bacillota.
UGGGGAAUAUUGGACAAUGGGGGGUACCCUGAUCCAGCCAUGCCGCGUGUGUGAAGAAGGCCUUAUGGUUGUAAAGCACUUUAAGCGAGGAGGAGGCUCUCUUGGUUAAUACCCAAGAAGAGUGGACGUUACUCGCAGAAUAAGCACCGGCUAACUCUGUGCCAGCAGCCGCGGUAAUACAGAGGGUGCGAGCGUUAAUCGGAUUUACUGGGCGUAAAGCGUGCGUAGGCGGCUUUUUAAGUCGGAUGUGAAAUCCCCGAGCUUAACUUGGGAAUUGCAUUCGAUACUGGGAAGCUAGAGUAUGGGAGAGGAUGGUAGAAUUCCAGGUGUAGCGGUGAAAUGCGUAGAGAUCUGGAGGAAUACCGAUGGCGAAGGCAGCCAUCUGGCCUAAUACUGACGCUGAGGUACGAAAGCAUGGGGAGCAAACAGG